This 77-nucleotide transfer RNA is filed under the name Candidatus Roizmanbacteria bacterium CG_4_10_14_0_2_um_filter_39_13. Its description in RNAcentral is "tRNA-Pro". It matches the Rfam family "tRNA". From Rfam's summary of the family: Transfer RNA (tRNA) molecules are approximately 80 nucleotides in length. Their secondary structure includes four short double-helical elements and three loops (D, anti-codon, and T loops). Further hydrogen bonds mediate the characteristic L-shaped molecular structure. tRNAs have two regions of fundamental functional importance: the anti-codon, which is responsible for specific mRNA codon recognition, and the 3' end, to which the tRNAs corresponding amino acid is attached (by aminoacyl-tRNA synthetases). tRNAs cope with the degeneracy of the genetic code in two manners: having more than one tRNA (with a specific anti-codon) for a particular amino acid; and 'wobble' base-pairing, i.e. permitting non-standard base-pairing at the 3rd anti-codon position. Lineage: Bacteria; Candidatus Roizmaniibacteriota. The record is from RNAcentral.
CGGGAUGUAGUUCAGAUGGCUAGAACACACGGUUCGGAACCGUGAGGUCGUGGGUUCGAGUCCCGCCAUCCCGACAA